RNAcentral lists this ribosomal RNA (328 nucleotides) under uncultured bacterium. RNAcentral describes it as "bacterial SSU rRNA". It matches the Rfam family "Bacterial small subunit ribosomal RNA", at positions 196 to 507 of the family's 1533-position model. The record is from RNAcentral.
UUCGGGGAAAGCCGGGACCUUCGGGCCUGGCGCGAUUGGAUGAGCCCACGUCGGAUUAGCUAGUUGGCGGGUAAAGGCCCACCAAGGCGACGAUCCGUAGCUGGUCUGAGAGGAUGAUCAGCCACACUGGAACUGAGACACGGUCCAGACUCCUACGGGAGGCAGCAGUAGGGAAUAUUGGACAAUGGGCGCAAGCCUGAUCCAGCCAUGCCGCGUGAGUGAAGAAGGCCCUCGGGUUGUAAAGCUCUUUUGUCCGGAAAGAAAAGCGCCGGGUUAAUACCCUGGUGUCCUGACGGUACCGGAAGAAUAAGCACCGGCUAACUUCGUG